GCAAGUCGAACGCUCUCGUAUCUUCGGAUUCAAUGAGAGAGUGGCGAACGGGUGAGUAACACGUAACAAACCUGCCCACCAGACGGGGAUACCCAUUGGAAACGAUGGUAAUACUGGAUAAGAUAUUUUACCGCAUGGUGAAAUAUUUAAAGAAGCUUUCGGGCUUCACUGAUGGAUGGUCUUGCGCUGCAUUAGCUAGUUGGUAAGGUAACGGCUUACCAAGGCGACGAUGCAUAGCUGGUCUGAGAGGAUGAUC
RNAcentral lists this ribosomal RNA (256 nucleotides) under uncultured bacterium. RNAcentral describes it as "partial 16S ribosomal RNA". It matches the Rfam family "Bacterial small subunit ribosomal RNA", at positions 57 to 305 of the family's 1533-position model. The record is from RNAcentral.